Molecule: long non-coding RNA, 1574 nt
Organism: Ictalurus punctatus (channel catfish)
Lineage: Eukaryota; Metazoa; Chordata; Actinopteri; Siluriformes; Ictaluridae
Source: Ensembl
UGGUGUCAAUUGUUUAUUUUUUAAAUAUUUACGUACAGUGCUCUUAGAUUAAAUUUUUAGGUAAAUGUGCAAAUGAAUAUAAGUUGUGCAUAAAUACUUAAAGUGCAGUAGAAAACAUGUAAAAACUACUUACAUUAAGUGUGGUAACAAAUUGCACCAUAAAACUAAUUGAGUUGGGUUCAGACUCUUCAUAAAGAGCAGUAACGCUAAUAAAAACCACUAAUAAAUAAAUACAGUGUACAAAAAUUUAGAAACGCCCCAAGUUCCUGCUCAUUAUUCCAUGAAGGAUGUGGAUGAAGGUGGGUUAAAAAUCAUGUCCUGUUCUGAGGUGUUUUGUACAUUACUACUUGAAGCCGUGUCUGUAAUGAACCUGGACUGAUUGACUGAGUGCCGGUACUUAGAGACUUUUAACUGCUGUAAUGUUGCUCAAGGCAUACGCCUCAGGAGUUCCUUUAGUAGGUCAUUCUGAGACUCCUGCAUCUCUUUAAACAUUUCCAUUUGCCUGGCCCGUUCUUCUUGUGCUUCCUGCUUUGCCUCCUUUCUUAAGCUCUCUUCAUGUUGCCUGUGCUCCAGGAGACGAAGCCGUUCCCUCUCUUCCAAGGUUCUGGCAAUUUCUGCAAAACACUCUUUCAUGUCCUUUGCUAUUUGUUCCUCCUGUGAUACUUUCUUCGCCCUUUUGUUUGGUGGUGAUUGAGGAGAUUCUGUAAACAGGCACACCAAAAUCCCAUUAGUCAGAUGAGUUAUGCAUCUAGCUUCAUGGACAGUAGUGUUAAGAGUAACUUUAGGCAGAUAGAGUGUAGCUAGCAAGCUCAAACUCACCUGCAUGACUGUGUGUAAAUUUUGUGCACUCCUUGGUGUCUGGGAUGUUUGCAACACUUGAAGUGGUUUCAGGUUCAGCAUUGUUUUUAGAUGGAGUAAGCCGCUGUAAUGUUGGUGAUGGGAUUCGCAACAAGAGUUCUCUUAGCAGAUUAUUUUGAGAUUCCAGUAAUUCUUUAAACAUGGCCAUUUGCCUGGCCCGUUCUUCUCUUUCCUCUUCUUUUGCCUCCUUCCUUAAGCACUCUUCAUAUUGCCUCUGUUCCAGGACACGAAGGCGCUCCCUUUCUUCAAAGUCUCGGUCCAUUUCAGUGAAAAACUCUUUCAUGUCCUUCACCAUUUGUUCCCCCCGUGAUACUUUCUUGGCACUUUUAUUUGGUGGUGACUGAGGAGAUGGAGGAAAUUCUGGAAGAAAAAAAAACAAACACAAAAAAAACAGCAAAUGCCAUUAAACAUCAACAGUGAAACACUGACUAAACUGUAUGCGUGUGAUUGGGGUGCCAGUAGUGGUGCGAUAAUCUUACAAUUACAAAUAUAAAAAAAGAGAUCAGAUAACACUUGUUAAUCCCAUGUGCAUGUUUCAGAUAGAUCACUUAAACAUUAUUAAAACCUACAUGAAACAUAAUCAUUAAAUGUGUAAAUAGUCAUUAACGUGUAAAUCUACUUAACAGUUCAUGCUUGAAACAUCCUUUUCCAUGAGUAUAAAUAUGUGUCAAAUGUACAUUUUAGUUGUUUCCCACCACAUUCACUCAACCCCGUCA